This 81-nucleotide transfer RNA is filed under the name bacterium. RNAcentral describes it as "tRNA-Leu". It matches the Rfam family "tRNA". Rfam says of the family: Transfer RNA (tRNA) molecules are approximately 80 nucleotides in length. The record is from RNAcentral.
GCGCCCGUGGUGGAACGGCAGACACGAUAGGUUUAGGACCUAUUGCCGAAAGGUGUGGAGGUUCGAAUCCUCCCGGGCGCA